UAGAGGAAGUAAAAGUCGUAACAAGGUCUCCGUAGGUGAACCUGCGGAGGGAUCAUUACACAAUAAAAUACGAAGGCCGUAUACGGCUCACGAUAUAUUACCCUUGUCUUUUGCGCACUUGUUGUUUCCUGGGCGGGUUCGCUCGCCACCAGGACCACAAUAUAAACCUUUUUUGUGCAGUUGCAAUCAGCGUCAGUACAACAAAUGUAAAUCAUUUACAACUUUCAACAACGGAUCUCUUGGUUCUGGCAUCGAUGAAGAACGCAGCGAAAUGCGAUACGUAGUGUGAAUUGCAGAAUUCAGUGAAUCAUCGAAUCUUUGAACGCACAUUGCGCCCUUUGGUAUUCCAAAGGGCAUGCCUGUUCGAGCGUCAUUUGUACCCUCAAGCUUUGCUUGGUGUUGGGCGUUUUUUGUCCCCCCCAAAAAGGGGACUCGCCUUAAAAGGAUUGGCAGCCGGCCUACUGGUUUCGCAGCGCAGCACAUUUUUGCGCUUGCAAUCAGCAAAAGAGGACGGCAAUCCAUCAAGACUCCUUCUCUCGUUUGACCUCGGAUCAGGUAGGGAUACCCGCUGAACUUAAGCAUAUCAAUAA
Molecule: ribosomal RNA, 590 nt
Filed under: Bipolaris sp. P24E2
Lineage: Eukaryota; Fungi; Ascomycota; Dothideomycetes; Pleosporales; Pleosporaceae
Description: eukaryotic LSU rRNA
Rfam family: 5.8S ribosomal RNA (bases 220-373)
Source: RNAcentral